ACGGUUAGGGCUUAAUGAUGUAUGCUGCAUCAGAAUAAACUAGUUUAGAGAUAAAGCUGGAAAUCACAACAGACACAUAAUAGUAGCAAUGAAGUCCCACAAGAGAUAACAGUAGAGACAUAGACAUUAUUUAUCUAGCAAUUCAAUGCACUUGUUAUGAGCACAUCUAAGUGGUCUUUGAUGGCAUUUCAAUUAUUUUUAGUAUUUCUUUUCUCAUAUUCCAUAUUAGGUGCAGUGUAGAAAACCUAUUCAAUGUAUACAAUUUACAUUGUCUUCUUCCAAACAACUGAAACAAAUUGUACACAAAUUUGAAAUUAAUUCUCCAGGUAACGGGAUGCAAUUCAUUAUGUAUUGGUUCAAAAUAGACUUUUGAGGAAUUUCCAAUUAUUUGCUGUUUCUUCCCUGCCCCAGUUUUCAAAUGCUGCAUUGCAAGGGUUUCUUCUACCCUGUUCAUUAAUAUGAAGGACAGCAAGGUGAAGCUCAAAUCUCCUUCAGUCAAAAGCACUUUCAGAUUGUUCCUUCAAGAACACUGAAAGUGUAGAUGCUUCUAAUACAUAAAGUUGGGAUGAAAAAGGCAAAUUUACAAGAGAAGUG
Molecule: unclassified non-coding RNA, 594 nt
Filed under: Hevea brasiliensis (rubber tree)
Lineage: Eukaryota; Viridiplantae; Streptophyta; Magnoliopsida; Malpighiales; Euphorbiaceae
Source: RNAcentral